This 1986-nucleotide long non-coding RNA is filed under the name Marmota monax (woodchuck). The record is from RNAcentral. Lineage: Eukaryota; Metazoa; Chordata; Mammalia; Rodentia; Sciuridae.
CCCAGCCCUCUCCCUCCUAUUUUUCAUGGCUCAGAUACCACACACUGACUGAGAGUUCACCUCUUCCUUGACUUCAGACGCCUUCUGUUUUCUCUGGUUUUCUACUAAGCUCUCCUUCUCUUCCCCUCCCCAUUCCUAAUUCUCUUCUAGUUAUAUUCAAAACAUUUUAAGUUUUAAUUGAUGUGUGAUAAUUGCACAUAUUUGUGAUGCACAAUAGGAUACCUCUAUAAAUGUAAACAAUGUGUAAUAUCACAUCAGGGUAAUCGGCAUAUCCAUUGCCUCAAACACCUUUCUUUUGUAUUGAGAACAAUCAAAAUCUCUCCAUUAGCUUUUUUUUUUAAAUUAAGGGUCUAUAAAUUUCAGCACAUUUGGUUAUUUUGAACUAUUUAAUUGUUGUCAAGCUUACUGUACUUAAAAUAGAAGAUAUCCCUCCUAUCCAAUUGUACUUUGUACUGUCAAUCAUCCUCUCUCCACCCUUCCCAUUCCGCAUUUGUGUGAAGAAUAAGUGAAGUUUUCACCCUUUCCCUAGAAAGAGUCCCAUAGUCUCAAAGGUCAGCCAUUGUCCUUCUGAAUAUUCUGCUACAUAACACUAAAUUGUAUAAACAUAAAAUGAGGAGAGAAAAAGGAAAUAGUUUGCAUAUACAAAUAAACACAUGCCUAUUAGGAAAGAGAAAAUACAUCAAGCUGCUAGAGUCCCCAUUUCUGUAAUUGGUCAUAAGUUCCAAGUUGGAUACUAUGGUUCCUUCUUUAAUUAUUCAGGUCAUAUUUACCUGGACAUCACCUAGAAUCUUAGAUAACUAGAAUUUUACCUGGCGAAAUGAAGCCAAACUCCAUUCCUGAAGGUCAGCCAUCAUCCUGCUGUCUUUUAGUUACUGUAGUCUUCCACUGGCCUUUGCCAUUGGGCUUGGAAGUAGUCAGAGCUACCUGGCAGAACCCCUGGGUUCCCAUAGACCAUUCUUGCCCCUACUCAUAGUGGGGCCCACUUUCCUCCUACUCAAAAGAAUCAAUGACUCUUGCCAGUAGAGUUAUCCUUUUGUCUACAGUUUGUUCAGUGGCAUGAAAAGUCUACAAUGGCCAGGUGACAGUCUCAUCUUCCAAUACAAUGAAACCAUUGUUGUGUCACCUGGAGGAAGAAUUUCUCCCUUGGGAAAUAAGACCUCCAAAUCAGCAAAGCUCAAAUUGGACAAGAUGGGAAGCAAAAGUUCUACAAAUGGGUUAUUCAAUAGAGUAGGGAGAAGAACAAGAUCCAAUUCCACUCCUUGGUUCUGACUCAUCUGUUCGGGCUAUACAGGAGACAGCACCACAUAAUGGUCUCUGAUUAAAGUACAUCCUGCUUCCUAUAAAAUAGAACCUCAUUUUUUAAGGAUGUGAUCUCUCAAGUAAUGCCUACAUGAAGUUAUUGGUUAAUUGAUUGAUUGUGGAACUGGGGAUUGAACCCAGGGCCUAAUGCAUGCUAGAGCCAAGCAUUCUACUAUCGAGCUAUAUCCUCAGCAGCAUCCCCAGCCCCCACUGACCUUUUUUGUUACCAGAGAUCAAAUCCAGGGUCACUUCAUAACUGAGCCACAUUCUCCAGCCCAUUUUAUGUUUUUAUUUUGAGACAGGGUGUCACUAAGUUGCUGAGGCUGGCUUUGAACUUGCAAUCCUCCUACCUCUGCCUCCUCAGCUGCUGGGAUUACAGGCAUGUGUCACCAUGCCCAGCUUCUUGGCCCUUUUUAAAAGUUUGAGACAAGAGUUUUUGUAAAUUACCCAUGCUGGCCUCAAACUUGGAGUCCUCCUGUCUCAGCCUUCUGAGUAACUGGGAUUACAGGCAUGUGCCACCACCCUGAUUAAGUGUGGGUUGUUUCUUCUCCCUAAUGCACAGUUACUCUAGUAAACGGGCACUGUCCCUUUAUCAAGGAGACUCAAACUUCUCUUCAACUGAAGGACUCUGGAUAUAUGCUGACUUGGGUCUGGAAACUGGGAGAGGGACCAUGAAUCUCCAUUGUG